Molecule: ribosomal RNA, 253 nt
Filed under: uncultured bacterium
Lineage: Bacteria
Description: partial 16S ribosomal RNA
Rfam family: Bacterial small subunit ribosomal RNA
Source: RNAcentral
GACGAACCGUGCGAACGUUGUUCGGAAUCACUGGGCUUAAAGGGCGCGUAGGCGGGUGCUCAAGUCCGGGGUGAAAUCCUCCAGCUCAACUGGAGAACUGCCUCGGAUACUGGGUGCCUCGAGGGUGGCAGGGGUAUGCGGAACUAUCGGUGGAGCGGUGAAAUGCGUUGAUAUCGAUAGGAACUCCGGUGGCGAAGGCGGCAUACUGGUCCACUUCUGACGCUGAGGCGCGAAAGCCAGGGGAGCAAACGGG